Molecule: ribosomal RNA, 710 nt
Filed under: uncultured bacterium
Lineage: Bacteria
Description: bacterial SSU rRNA
Rfam family: Bacterial small subunit ribosomal RNA
Source: RNAcentral
GAGUUUGAUCAUGGCUCAGAUUGAACGCUGGCGGCAUGCCUUACACAUGCAAGUCGAACGGCAGCACGGGAGCAAUCCUGGUGGCGAGUGGCGAACGGGUGAGUAAUAUAUCGGAACGUGCCCAGUCGUGGGGGAUAACGUAGCGAAAGCUACGCUAAUACCGCAUACGAUCUACGGAUGAAAGCGGGGGACUCGCAAGAGCCUCGCGCGAUUGGAGCGGCCGAUAUCAGAUUAGGUUGUUGGUGAGGUAAAAGCUCACCAAGCCUGCGAUCUGUAGCUGGUCUGAGAGGACGACCAGCCACACUGGAACUGAGACACGGUCCAGACUCCUACGGGAGGCAGCAGUGGGGAAUUUUGGACAAUGGACGCAAGUCUGAUCCAGCAAUGCCGCGUGCAGGACGAAGGCCUUCGGGUCGUAAACUGCUUUUGUACGGAACGAAACGGUCUUCUUUAAUACAGAGGGCUAAUGACGGUACCGUAAGAAUAAGCACCGGCUAACUACGUGCCAGCAGCCGCGGUAAUACGUAGGGUGCGAGCGUUAAUCGGAAUUACUGGGCGUAAAGCGUGCGCAGGCGGUUAUAUAAGUCAGAUGUGAAAUCCCCGGGCUCAACCUGGGACCUGCAUUUGAGACUGUAUAGCUAGAGUACGGUAGAGGGGGAUGGAAUUCGCGUGUAGCAGUGAAUGCGUAGAAUGCGGAGAACACCGAUGGC